Molecule: ribosomal RNA, 660 nt
Filed under: Phellinus tuberculosus
Lineage: Eukaryota; Fungi; Basidiomycota; Agaricomycetes; Hymenochaetales; Hymenochaetaceae
Description: eukaryotic LSU rRNA
Rfam family: 5.8S ribosomal RNA (bases 257-410)
Source: RNAcentral
AAGGAUCAUUAUGAUUUUGAAGGCGAGGGCUUGAUGCUGGCGCGGAGACGCGGACGUGCACGGCCCUUGUCCUCAAUCCAAUUCAACCCCUGUGCACCUUAUGGGAGUUAUUAGCUGGCGGGAAUAGCCUGGCCGGAAAUGUAAUGUUAGUAGUCGAGAGGCGAAGGCUUACGGAUCGUCGGUGAACACUUCAACUUUAUUAUCAACCUUUGUUGUCGUGUAGAAUGCAAUGCUCCUCGUGGGCGAAAUGAAAUACAACUUUCAACAACGGAUCUCUUGGCUCUCGCAUCGAUGAAGAACGCAGCGAAAUGCGAUAAGUAAUGUGAAUUGCAGAAUUCAGUGAAUCAUCGAAUCUUUGAACGCACCUUGCGCCCCUUGGUAUUCCGAGGGGCAUGCCUGUUUGAGUGUCAUGUUAAUCUCAAUUCCCUUGUUUUCUUAACUCGGGCGUUGGACUUGGAAGUUGCUGGCCCCUCUCGCCGGUCGGCUCUUCUUAAAUGUAUUAGCUGGGCUUUGGCUCGCGUUGAACGGUGUAAUAGUAAUCUUACAUUCGCCUGAGCGCUUGCCUGACGAGUCUGCUUCUAAUCGUCUUCGGACAAGGUCUUUGUUACCUUCACUUGACACCUUGACCUCAAAUCAGGUAGGAUUACCCGCUGAACUUAA